Molecule: small nucleolar RNA, 129 nt
Organism: Gasterosteus aculeatus aculeatus (three-spined stickleback)
Lineage: Eukaryota; Metazoa; Chordata; Actinopteri; Perciformes; Gasterosteidae
Source: Ensembl
CGUGCACCCAAACCCAAAGCGCACGCCGGCUCAGUGGUGUGCUUUUGUGUGGCGUGCCAACAUGAACGUGAUCCCUGUCGCCUUUCACGACUGCCGUGUCUCUGAAAGUGAAACCAGGGGUCUACAAGU